RNAcentral lists this microRNA precursor (81 nucleotides) under Pelodiscus sinensis (Chinese soft-shelled turtle). Its description in RNAcentral is "miRNA (ENSPSIG00000019593.1)". The record is from RNAcentral. Lineage: Eukaryota; Metazoa; Chordata; Testudines; Trionychidae.
UAUGUUGUGUGUCUGUCUCAUACAGUGUGCGUAUAUCUCUACUAUACACACACACACACACACACACACUUUAUCGCUCAC